This is a long non-coding RNA of Bombyx mori (domestic silkworm), 969 nucleotides long. RefSeq lists it as uncharacterized. The transcript has 2 exons. NCBI's taxonomy places the organism in Eukaryota, Metazoa, Arthropoda, Insecta, Lepidoptera, Bombycidae. The record is from RefSeq and is a predicted model, not a curated record.
CAGUUGUUAGACGCACCUGACGCGGUGCCGGCGGCGGUGCGCCGAGUAUGCGUUGUUGUCUUUGCAGCGGACUUUGCAGAUAUCGCACACCAGGCUGCCCGAGGACUGGGAACAAAACAAAAAAAAUAACAAGUAUUAAAAUCAAUUUUACUGGUAUCAAUCAGUAUUACUGGUGGCAGGACGUCUUGUGAGUUCGCACGGGUAGGUACCACCGCCCUGCUUAUUUCUGCCGUGAAGCAGUAAUGCGUUUCGGUUUAAAGGGCGGGGCCGCCGUUUUAACUAUAAUGAGACCUUAGAACUUAUAUCUCAAGGUGGGAAGGUGGGUGGCGCAUUUACGUUGUAGAUGUCUAUGGGCUCCGGUAACCACUUAACACCAGGUGGGCUGUGAGCUCGUCCACCCAUCUAAGCAACAAAUAAGCAAUAAAACAAGCAUUAAAAUCCACUAUUUUACAUUUACAUGGACACACAUAAAAAUUUGUCAGCGCACAUCUACAUAUGUUAUAUUACCAUCUUACAUACCAUUUGUAUAUUACCAGCAGCUUCAUCCACGUGGUCAAUAAAAGGAUAUCAUGACAGUCCGUCGCUUCAGUUCAACGUGAAAGAGAGGAAGAAACCAACACAUCUUCACAUCUGCAACAUUAGUAUGGAUGAUCUGACGUGUGCCUCUCACCGGGUCGUGCUUCUUCAUGUGGUUGAGCAGCUUGGACUUGUGGUUGAAGCCGACGAUGCAGUCGGCGCAGCGGUAGUCGUGCCUCGUGAACGCGGCGCUGUCCAGGGCCACUCGCCGCUCCUGCGCCACCUGCGGACACGGACUAGUCACGUCUCCACCCGGCAGAACCCUCAGAGGCAGCACUGGUGCUCACGGACAACACUGACUAACUCAACCCGUUAUUUGAAGUGACCAAACCCAACUAAUUAAUGUUUUAAGCACUGAAUAUAAUUUAAAAUAAACAAUAAUUAAUUCAUGAA